Small nucleolar RNA from Hibiscus syriacus, 107 nucleotides. Lineage: Eukaryota; Viridiplantae; Streptophyta; Magnoliopsida; Malvales; Malvaceae. The record is from RefSeq and is a predicted model, not a curated record.
AAACUAUGAAUUGAACAUUUGCACAAUAACUCCUUAAAAUGCUCCCAAGCCUCAUACAACCUUUCGUCUUCUAUUUGUUUAAAAGAUGUCAAAUCCUUUCGCAGCUU